CUACGGGAGGCAGCAGCAAGGAAUUUUCGGCAAUGGGCGCAAGCCUGACCCAGCAACGCCGCGUGGAGGAUGAAGGCUCUAGGGUUGUAAACUCCUUUUGUGGGGGAAAAGAGAGGAUGGUACCCCAAGAAUAAGUCACGGCUAACUACGUGCCAGCAGCCGCGGUAAUACGUAGGUGACAAGCGUUAUCCGGAAUUACUGGGCGUAAAGCGCACGCAGGCGGUGUUAUAAGUCUGAUGUGAAACCUUCUGGCUUAACCAGAAGACGUCGUUGGAUACUGUAAUACUUGAGGCGAUGAGAGGAAUGCGGAAUUCUCGGUGUAAUGGUGGAAUAUGUAGAUAUCGAGAGGAACAUCUGUGGCGAAAGCGGCAUUCUAGCAUUAGCCUGACGCUCAUGUGCGAAAGCGUGGGGAGCAAACGGGAUUAGAUACCCUGGUAGUCC
This 441-nucleotide ribosomal RNA is filed under the name uncultured bacterium. RNAcentral's name for it is "bacterial SSU rRNA". It matches the Rfam family "Bacterial small subunit ribosomal RNA", at positions 339 to 796 of the family's 1533-position model. The record is from RNAcentral.